CGCUCAGACAGCCGAGAGAUGCCAGAUUGUUAACCUAAAGUGGUAAAACUCAGUGGCCCUUUGUCGUCUGACAUCUCUCUCGUUUCUCCCUGUCUAACCUAAGUCUCCUGUGCUCCAGGUCUGCCUCCGCCUUGGGUCCCGUCCCAAGUGGCUCUCCCAAGCCUUGACGUCGUCAGUCAGGUCUCCCGUAAAUUGAUCUUCUGGAACCCGCUCCUCCAUCUGGUUCUCUUGGCUGUCAACGGAUCACCUUCACGCCGCUGCUGCUCGGAUCCCUCUCCGCUCCGCCGGACCGCCCACCUGCCUCUCAGUCAUCUGCGGGAGGCUGCCUCUGUGCCCGUCUUUCCACGCCACUCCCCCCGGCUCAGUUCCUGCGCUACGCGAUUUCACUCGCUUCCUCCGUACAGUCCCCUCAAACAAUCCACGUUGAUGCUCCUUGUCUUGCACGUUUAACAAUAAACUUCUAAACCUGC
Long non-coding RNA from Fundulus heteroclitus (mummichog), 470 nucleotides. RefSeq lists it as uncharacterized. The transcript is spliced from 2 exons. The record is from RefSeq and is a predicted model, not a curated record. Lineage: Eukaryota; Metazoa; Chordata; Actinopteri; Cyprinodontiformes; Fundulidae.